GUAACGCGUAUACAAUCUGCCUUUAAGCGGGGAAUAGCCCAUGGAAACGUGGAUUAAUACCCCAUAGUAUGUAGACUUCACCUGGAGACUACAUUAAACAUUUAUGGCUUAAAGAUGAGUAUGCGUCCUAUUAGUUAGUUGGUAAGGUAACGGCUUACCAAGACCGCGAUAGGUAGGGGUCCUGAGAGGGAGAUCCCCCACACUGGUACUGAGACACGGACCAGACUCCUACGGGAGGCAGCAGUGAGGAAUAUUGGACAAUGGAGGCAACUCUGAUCCAGCCAUGCCGCGUGCAGGAAGACGGCCCUAUGGGUUGUAAACUGCUUUUAUACGGGAAGAACCACAUCUACGUGUAGAUGCUUGACGGUACCGUAUGAAUAAGGACCGGCUAACUCCGUGCCAGCAGCCGCGGUAAUACGGAGGGUCCAAGCGUUAUCCGGAAUCAUUGGGUUUAAAGGGUCCGUAGGCGGAAUAAUAAGUCAGUGGUGAAAGUCUGCAGCUCAACUGUAGAAUUGCCAUUGAUACUGUUAUUCUUGAAUUAUUAUGAAGUGGUUGGAAUGAGUAGUGUAGCGGUGAAAUGCAUAGAUAUUACUCAGAACACCUAUUGCGAAGGCAGAUCACUAAUAAUAUAUUGACGCUGAGGGACGAAAGCGUAGGUAGCGAACAGGAUUAGAUACCCUGGUAGUCUACGCCGUAAACGAUGGUUACUA
This 710-nucleotide ribosomal RNA is filed under the name Gramella sp. MAR2010_157. Its description in RNAcentral is "bacterial SSU rRNA". It matches the Rfam family "Bacterial small subunit ribosomal RNA", at positions 110 to 818 of the family's 1533-position model. The record is from RNAcentral. Lineage: Bacteria; Pseudomonadati; Bacteroidota; Flavobacteriia; Flavobacteriales; Flavobacteriaceae.